CCUACGGGAGGCAGCAGUGGGGGAUAUUGCACAAUGGGGGAAACCCUGAUGCAGCGACACCGCGUGUGGGAAGACGGUCCUCUGGAUUGUAAACCACUGUCCCCAGGGACGAAGAUGACGGUACCUGGGGAGGAAGCUCCGGCUAACUACGUGCCAGCAGCCGCGGUAAUACGUAGGGAGCGAGCGUUGUCCGGAAUUACUGGGUGUAAGGGGAGCGUAGGCGGGACUGCAAGUUGGGUGUCAAAUCUACCGGCUCAACCGGUAGCCGCACUCAAAACUGCAGUUCUUGAGUGAAGUAGAGGCAGGCGGAAUUCCUAGUGUAGCGGUGAAAUGCGUAGAUAUUAGGAGGAACACCAGUGGCGAAGGCGGCCUGCUGGGCUUUUACUGACGCUGAGGCUCGAAAGUGUGGGGAGCAAACAGGAUUAGAUACCCUUGUAGUC
RNAcentral lists this ribosomal RNA (440 nucleotides) under uncultured bacterium. RNAcentral's name for it is "partial 16S ribosomal RNA". It matches the Rfam family "Bacterial small subunit ribosomal RNA", at positions 338 to 795 of the family's 1533-position model. The record is from RNAcentral.